RNAcentral lists this ribosomal RNA (253 nucleotides) under uncultured bacterium. RNAcentral's name for it is "partial 16S ribosomal RNA". It matches the Rfam family "Bacterial small subunit ribosomal RNA", at positions 524 to 776 of the family's 1533-position model. The record is from RNAcentral.
UACGGAGGGAGCUAGCGUUGUUCGGAAUUACUGGGCGUAAAGCGCACGUAGGCGGCUUUGUAAGUUAGAGGUGAAAGCCCGGGGCUCAACUCAGGAACUGCCUUUAAGACUGCAUCGCUUGAAUCCGGGAGAGGUGAGUGGAAUUCCGAGUGUAGAGGUGAAAUUCGUAGAUAUUCGGAAGAACACCAGUGGCGAAGGCGGCUCACUGGACCGAUAUUGACGCUGAGGUGCGAAAGCGUGGGGAGCAAACAGG